GAGAGCUGGCAUCUCUCAGCUACUCCAGGACACAGUAAGAAGUCAGCAGUCUCCUGAAGUCCUACAGGGAAUCUACAAUAUAAUGCUUCCUGAAGACAGUCCUAUAGGGAAACUACAAUAUGCUUGCUUUUCAAAGACCCAGAAGAUUUCUGAAUUAAGGAGGUCAUUUCCAGAACAACUAGGAACCUCUAAUCCUCUCAAACUCAGUCCCUGAAUCUGCAGGCACUUUCCAUACCACAGUGGCUUCAUGCUAGGAUUGCCAGGAAAGAAGCUCAGAAGACAAAAGAGAGCUCAACUGCUUUGAAAACUGCAGAUCAGUUAUAUGUCACACUUGCAGGUCCUAACAGGAGUCUAACUGAUCCCGACGUGAACCAAAGCAUCAUCCUGCUUUAUGCGUGACUACCUUAUUGUCAUUUGACAAUUCACAGCCACCCAGUGUUUCUGCUUGGGCUCUCGAGAGCAGUUCCACCCAUCUCACAUCUUCAUGAUUUGGUGAAAUGGUAAAUAAAUAUGGUGAAACACCGUUGAGUGGGGACCUGUGUCCUCUAGCUGCAAUCAUACAAGUAGAAGAGGCAGGUAACACUGCUCUGACAACUCCUAUCCUUCCUGCCUUGUGGACAGCUAAGGACCCUUUGCUUUGGCUAAGCCUCACAUCUCUUCAUUCUUGGCCAGCAUCACCUUAGCUAAAAGCCACACCCACACAGAUUUGCAACCAGAAAACAAAGAGCAAAGGAAGUCUCACACAGCAGCACCUGGGUCACUGUUGUAAGCAGGAACCCGAACCUUGACAGUUUUGCAGGGACAGUGUCUCUCAAGGAAGUCCCACAACAAAAUGUCUUUGAAACUCAGGUGAGGUCAUGGCACCAAACCUUAGGACCCUCCUGAUAGCAAAGGAGGAGAGGAUCAAGAGGACACAAUCAAUUUCAGAGUGUUGCUCUGGGCUGGCUGCUCAAGGCAAGCACACCCUGGCAGGACAGAAAGUAGACUUGGAGUCCAAUGGACUCUUUACCACUCACUAGCUAGGGAGAUGACAAGGAUAAUUCUGCCACUUCUCCUGAGACUCACUUCCUCUCAUAUGAAAAAGGAGGAUGUAAGCCAUAGAGGUUAGGACUUUACAAGACUGUGGAAAGUGAUAUGUCAGUGUCCUGUGUCAGGUCCUGUCCUGGGACAUGUUCCUGAGAUGAGAAGGCAGGGUCACAGGUCAGGAAUCUACAGAACAUGGAAGUUGCCAAAUGACCCUGUGGUCUUCACUGGAGGCUGGUUUGAGCCUCAGGGCAUAGGAUGUCCCAACAAACAGGCUUGGUCUGAAGAACCUGGGUGGCCCAGACUUGUGACUCUAUCAUCACUAGCACUGGGAUGGCAGGAGACAUAGUUGGCUCCUUGCUACAAUAACUAAUGUGGGGACAGCGAUCACACCUGGUUCUGGACAGCUGCAGAAGAGGACAGAGGUGUUGACCCUGCAAAGAGAUCUGACUGAGACCCAACAGCAUUAAAUUCCCUCUCCUGUUCACCUGGAUGGGGCCAUGCAGACAACUGCUAGCUUCUCCAUAACAGAGAUGGUUUGACUCUUCUUUUAAAUCAAACUUAGGUAUGAAGAAGUGACUACUCGCAUCAAGGAGCUCUUUGAGCACACCGGGCUGAUUCCACCGAGACAGAUUUUCAUGAUGGCAAAGCCAUCCAUCUCCUUAAACAGAAGGGACCAAUAGGAGAGAAGGUCCCAUGCCUAUGGUCUAGGUUCAAAAAGCAGUCCCAGGGGCCCAGGAUCCUGAGAAGAGACACAGACACGAAGGCAACGGGGCUAUGGAGGCAGCCCUCAAUUACGGCUCCCUCCUCCUCCUCCUCCUCCUCACCUCUUGCUUUCUGGCUCAGCAUCAUUAGCGCAGCGCCAUGCCUUGCUGCACACUCUCCUUUCUAGGUCAACGAGACAUGAAGUGAACAUCAUUCCUGAUAUUCAUCUUUUUCUCUGAGAACUGGCUGGGGGAUGAAGAAGGGCAAGAAGUGGGAGCGGUGGCUGCUGGGAGGGUGGAGAAUUCAUUUGCAUUCAUUUCUCACCCUGUUAACUGGCAUAUCACUUCUCUGCUCACACUGUCUGGGGCCCGAUCUAGGUUGUGGCUGGAGCAAUUACUGAGCUCAGCAGAGGUAAUGUGCCACAUAAAAUGGCACAGACACAGGUCAAGGCUGGGCCUAGACACUCCUCAGACAUAGGAAACUUACACAAAAUAAUAUCUGUGUAAGGCACAAAUAAGUUUCC
Molecule: long non-coding RNA, 2251 nt
Organism: Mus musculus (house mouse)
Lineage: Eukaryota; Metazoa; Chordata; Mammalia; Rodentia; Muridae
Product: predicted gene, 52111
Exons: 5
Source: RefSeq, a predicted model, not a curated record